UGGGGAAUAUUGCGCAAUGGGGGGAACCCUGACGCAGCCAUGCCGCGUGAAUGAAGAAGGCCUUCGGGUUGUAAAGUUCUUUCGGUAUUGAGGAAGGUUGAUGUGUUAAUAGCACAUCAAAUUGACGUUAAAUACAGAAGAAGCACCGGCUAACUCCGUGCCAGCAGCCGCGGUAAUACGGAGGGUGCGAGCGUUAAUCGGAAUAACUGGGCGUAAAGGGCACGCAGGCGGUUAUUUAAGUGAGGUGUGAAAGCCCUGGGCUUAACCUAGGAAUUGCAUUUCAGACUGGGUAACUAGAGUACUUUAGGGAGGGGUAGAAUUCCACGUGUAGCGGUGAAAUGCGUAGAGAUGUGGAGGAAUACCGAAGGCGAAGGCAGCCCCUUGGGAAUGUACUGACGCUCAUGUGCGAAAGCGUGGGGAGCAAACAGGAUUAGAUACCCUGGUAGUCCACGCUGUAAACGCUGUCGAUCUGGGGGUUGGGGUUUAACUCUGGCGCCCGUAGCUAACGUGAUAAAUCGACCGCCUGGGGAGUACGGCCGCAAGGUUA
RNAcentral lists this ribosomal RNA (547 nucleotides) under uncultured bacterium. Its description in RNAcentral is "bacterial SSU rRNA". It matches the Rfam family "Bacterial small subunit ribosomal RNA", at positions 355 to 896 of the family's 1533-position model. The record is from RNAcentral.